UACGGGGGGGGCAAGCGUUGCUCGGAAUCACUGGGCGGUAAAGGGCAGCGUAGGCGGGAUGGCAAGUCGGUCGUGAAAUCCUUCGGCCCAACCGAAGAACGUCGGCCGAUAACUGCCGUUCUUUGGGGGAUGCAGAGGAGACUGGAAUUCCCGGUGUAGCGGUGAAAUGUGUAGAGAUCGGGAGGAACACCGGUGGCGAAGGCGGUUCUACUGGGCAUUACCUGACGCUGAGGAGCGAAAGUGUGGGGAGCGAAACAGG
This 259-nucleotide ribosomal RNA is filed under the name uncultured bacterium. RNAcentral describes it as "partial 16S ribosomal RNA". It matches the Rfam family "Bacterial small subunit ribosomal RNA", at positions 524 to 776 of the family's 1533-position model. The record is from RNAcentral.